This 434-nucleotide ribosomal RNA is filed under the name uncultured Lachnospiraceae bacterium. RNAcentral describes it as "partial 16S ribosomal RNA". It matches the Rfam family "Bacterial small subunit ribosomal RNA", at positions 341 to 792 of the family's 1533-position model. Lineage: Bacteria; Bacillati; Bacillota; Clostridia; Lachnospirales; Lachnospiraceae. The record is from RNAcentral.
ACGGAAGGCAGCAGUGGGGAAUAUUGGACAAUGGGGGCAACCCUGAUCCAGCGACGCCGCGUGAGUGAAGAAGUAAUUCGUUAUGUAAAGCUCUAUCAGCAGGGACGAUAAUGACGGUACCUGACUAAGAAGCUCCGGCUAAAUACGUGCCAGCAGCCGCGGUAAUACGUAUGGUGCAAGCGUUAUCCGGAUUUACUGGGUGUAAAGGGUGCGUAGGUGGUAUGGCAAGUCAGAAGUGAAAUGCGGGGGCUCAACCCCUGAACUGCUUUUGAAACUGUCAAACUAGAGUGCAGGAGAGGAAAGCGGAAUUCCUAGUGUAGCGGUGAAAUGCGUAGAUAUUAGGAGGAACACCAGUGGCGAAGGCGGCUUUCUGGACUGUAACUGACACUGAGGCACGAAAGCGUGGGGAGCAAACAGGAUUAGAUACCCUGGUA